UGGGGAAUUUUGGACAAUGGGCGCAAGCCUGAUCCAGCCAUGCCGCGUGAGUGAAGAAGGCCUUCGGGUUGUAAAGCUCUUUCGGUUGGGAAGAAAUUGCUUCGGAUAAUACCCGGAGUAGAUGACGGUACCAGCAUAAGAAGCACCGGCUAACUACGUGCCAGCAGCCGCGGUAAUACGUAGGGUGCGAGCGUUAAUCGGAAUUACUGGGCGUAAAGCGUGCGCAGGCGGUUGUGUAAGUCAGAUGUGAAAGCCCCGGGCUCAACCUGGGAACUGCAUUUGAGACUGCACGGCUAGAGUGUGGCAGAGGGGGGUAGAAUUCCACGUGUAGCAGUGAAAUGCGUAGAGAUGUGGAGGAAUACCGAUGGCGAAGGCAGCCCCCUGGGCCAAUACUGACGCUCAUGCACGAAAGCGUGGGGAGCAAACA
This 427-nucleotide ribosomal RNA is filed under the name uncultured prokaryote. Its description in RNAcentral is "bacterial SSU rRNA". It matches the Rfam family "Bacterial small subunit ribosomal RNA", at positions 355 to 774 of the family's 1533-position model. The record is from RNAcentral.